This 440-nucleotide ribosomal RNA is filed under the name uncultured bacterium. Its description in RNAcentral is "partial 16S ribosomal RNA". It matches the Rfam family "Bacterial small subunit ribosomal RNA", at positions 338 to 795 of the family's 1533-position model. The record is from RNAcentral.
CCUACGGGAGGCAGCAGUGGGGGAUAUUGCACAAUGGGGGGAACCCUGAUGCAGCGACGCCGCGUGGGUGAAGAAGGGCCUCGGGGCGGAAAGCCCUGUCAGCAGGGAAGAAAAUGACGGUACCUGAAGAAGAAGCCCCGGCGAACUACGUGCAAGCAGCCGCGGUACGACGGCGGGGGCAAGCGUGAUCCGGAGUUACUGGGUGUAAAGGGGGCGUAGACGGGGAUGCAAGCCAGGAGUGAAAGCCCGGGGCCCCACCCCGGGACGGCUCUUGGAACUGCGUGGCUGGAGUGCAGGAGGGGCAGGCGGAAUUCCUGGUGUAGCGGUGAAAUGCGUAGAUAUCAGGAGGAACACCGGUGGCGAAGGCGGCCUGCUGGACUGCAACUGACGUUGAGGCCCGAAAGCGUGGGGAGCAAACAGGAUUAGAUACCCGGGUAGUC